AAUCAUUUUAAAAUAGACAGUUUAAUAAGCCAAUCAAAUUGAUCGUAUUGUCUUUUAAAUUUGUGUUAUUUCAAUAUUUUAAAAAAGUAACACGAUUCGACUUCAAUGAUUAUGAAAAUGAAAUUUUUUUGUUUCAUAAUAUCAUUUACCUUUGUUAAUGUUUUGGCUGAUAUUACUGAGGAAUAUAAGACAGCGAUUGCCGUUACAAACAAACACAUCGACCUUGCAGGAGAUAGAUUGCCAGACGUUAUAAGAAAUAUUAUUUUUGGACGUGCACCGAUGG
Long non-coding RNA from Adelges cooleyi (spruce gall adelgid), 283 nucleotides. RefSeq lists it as uncharacterized. NCBI's taxonomy places the organism in Eukaryota, Metazoa, Arthropoda, Insecta, Hemiptera, Adelgidae. The record is from RefSeq and is a predicted model, not a curated record. The transcript has 5 exons.